UACAGAGGUCUCGAGCGUUGUUCGGAUUCAUUGGGCGUAAAGGGCGCGUAGGCGGCGGGGUAAGUCUGGUGUGAAAUCUCGGAGCUCAACUCCGAGAUUGCACUGGAUACUGCUCUGCUAGAGGGCUGGAGAGGAGAUCGGAAUUCACGGUGUAGCAGUGAAAUGCGUAGAUAUCGUGAGGAAGACCAGUGGCGAAGGCGGAUCUCUGGACAGCACCUGACGCUGAGGCGCGAAGGCUAGGGGAGCAAACGGG
RNAcentral lists this ribosomal RNA (253 nucleotides) under uncultured bacterium. RNAcentral's name for it is "partial 16S ribosomal RNA". It matches the Rfam family "Bacterial small subunit ribosomal RNA", at positions 524 to 776 of the family's 1533-position model. The record is from RNAcentral.